CCUACGGGAGGCUGCAGUGAGGAAUAUUGGUCAAUGGGCGCAAGCCUGAACCAGCCAAGUCGCGUGAGGGAAGACUGCCCUAUGGUUUGUAAACCUCUUUUAUAAGGGAAGAAUAAUGACUACGUGUAGUCGGAUGCCCGUACCUUAUGAAUAAGCAUCGACUAACUCCGUGCCAGCAGCCGCGGUAAUACGGAGGAUGCGAGCGUUAUCCGGAUUUAGUGGGUGUAAAGGGUGCGUAGGCGGGAAUUUAAGUUAGUGGUAAAACGUCGGGGCUUCACCUUGAUUGGCCAUUAAAACUGGAGUACUAGAGUACAGACGAGGUAGGCGGGAUAAGUUAAGGAGCGGUGAAAUGCUGAGAUAUAAAGUAGAACCCCGAUAGCGAAGGGAGCUUACCAGACUGUUAAUGACGGUGAAGCACGAGAGCGUGGGUAGCGAACAGGAUUAGAUACCCCUGGUAGUC
This 460-nucleotide ribosomal RNA is filed under the name uncultured bacterium. RNAcentral's name for it is "partial 16S ribosomal RNA". It matches the Rfam family "Bacterial small subunit ribosomal RNA", at positions 338 to 795 of the family's 1533-position model. The record is from RNAcentral.